Molecule: ribosomal RNA, 468 nt
Filed under: uncultured bacterium
Lineage: Bacteria
Description: partial 16S ribosomal RNA
Rfam family: Bacterial small subunit ribosomal RNA
Source: RNAcentral
GACGAACGCUGGCGGCGUGCUUAACACAUGCAAGUCGAACGGAAAGGCCCUGCUUUUGUGGGGUGCUCGAGUGGCGAACGGGUGCGUAACACGUGAGUAACCUGCCCUUGACUUUGGUAUAACUUCCGGAAACUGGGGCUAAUACCGGCUAGGACCUCCUGCUGCAUGGUGGGGGUUGGAAAGCUUCGGCGGUUGGGGAUGGACUCGCGGCUUAUCAGCUUGUUGGUGGGGUAGUGGCUUACCAAGGCUUUGACGGGUAGCCGGCCUGAGAGGGUGACCGGCCACAGUGGGACUGAGGAACGGCCGAGAAUAGUACGGGGGGCAGAAGUGAGGAAUGUUGCCAAGUAAGAGGACGCCGGAUGCAGCGACGCGGCGGGCGGGAUAACUGCCUUCGGGUGGUAAUCCGCUUUCGCUUGUGACGACGCGUGAGUGACGGUACCGGGUCAAGAAGCACCGGCUAACUACGUG